Passer domesticus (house sparrow) is the source of this 422-nucleotide long non-coding RNA. RefSeq lists it as uncharacterized. Lineage: Eukaryota; Metazoa; Chordata; Aves; Passeriformes; Passeridae. The record is from RefSeq and is a predicted model, not a curated record. The transcript has 2 exons.
CAUCAGCUGUGCCCUGGGCUCAGCUGGGACAGAGUUAAUUCUGUCCCCAGUAGCUGGUACAGCGCUGGUUUGGAUUCAGUGUGAGAAUAAUGUUGAUAACACACUGAUGUUGUAGUUGUUGCUAAGCAGUGCUUACUCUAAAGCACUUUCCCAGGCUCUGCCAGUGAGGAAGUGCACAAGAAGCUGGGAGGGAGCAUGGCCAGGAAGGCUGACUGGAACUGAGGGUUCAAAAGUGGCAUUUGAGUUGCAUUUGACCAGCUUUUGUACAGAAAACUUCACAAGAGAGGACAUGAAAGAAAGAGGAAGAUGUUUUGUUCAUAGAGACAAAUAAGAAUGUUGCACUCUGGCUUGUGUUCUGUGGACUGGAAAUACACUUCUGUGAGUCAUAAAUGUGAUUAAAUCAUGUCCAUCCAAGAAGCAUA